Long non-coding RNA from Daphnia carinata, 1143 nucleotides. RefSeq lists it as uncharacterized. The record is from RefSeq and is a predicted model, not a curated record. The transcript is spliced from 5 exons. Lineage: Eukaryota; Metazoa; Arthropoda; Branchiopoda; Diplostraca; Daphniidae.
GGGCCCUUGUAAUAUACGUUGUCUUACCAAUACCUAGUCUUGGUUACAAGUUGUGUUUCUGUUGGGUAGAUUGGGGAAUCUGAAGUUUUUCGCAUCAAUCAAACAACUUUUAUACCUUUGAAGGGGCCACAGACAGUAGAAGAAGAAAGAGUGACCGAGCUUUUGGAAGCUGUUUAACUCUGGAACAUUCUAUUUCCUCUAGUCAUCUGGUGAAGACCCAAUUGAUGCUACAUUAUGCACCCAAAAGCUUCAGCAAAAUCGUGGAACAGACAACAGAUCUACCUAUUCUUCUGGAAUAGGCUUUUGCACUUACCAUUGCAACACUAUGGAAUUGAUUUUUCUCACUGGCUGUUACGAGUUACAUGUGGCAGUGUUGAAAUCCGUACGUUGAAACCAGGAGUUCAAGUAGGGUCGCACAAAGUGAGAUUCUCACGCGGCCCCGAGGCCUCUUCACCAGCUCUAGAACGCCAUUUGAAGCUCAUGCAAGAGCGUUAUCAUGACACAGCUACCGUGAAUCUACUCGGUCUCUACAUGGUCGGUGCAAAAGAAGGGGAAGCUUCACUUAGUCAACUCUUCCAAGCUGACCAGAAACGCUGUUAUGAGUCGAUGCCUCAUACCAUGUUCGACUAUCACCAAGAAUGCAGAGGUGGAAACCUCCAGAAUCACGCAAAAUUCAAACAAAGUCUGCAGCCUAUCUUUGAGCGCCAUUCGUUCUUCUUAUUCAAGAAUCAGCAAGUUUUAUCUCAACAAAAAGGAGUUAUCCCAACCAACUGCCUCGACUGUCUUGACCGAACAAACUGCUUGUAAAUAGUGCGCAGAAUUCAUCGGCUUAGAGAUCUUAGUGCUUCAAUUGGAUGCUCCAGAACCUCAAACGAAACCCAACAACAACACAAAGUUCGCGCUAUUUUUCCGGUCAACGUGGGUGAACAGCGGAAACAAAAUCUGUAAAAUCUACCCUGGAACCGGAGUUAUCGGGUGGACCAAAGACUAUGGAUGGCAGCGAGCAGUGAGAACGCCAAAGCCUAGGCAACUGAGCUACAAAAGGUGCUUUCACGGGAUCGCCCAUUCGCGUUACUGACCUAUGUUCAACUUGUUGGCGUAUGUCGCUACGUUUUUAUUCGGCACGAAUUAGCGGUUGACGUG